AUUUAUAUAGUAUAAAAAUUAUAUUUAACUUCCAAUUAAAAGAUCUAUUAAUUAGUAUAAAUA
Molecule: transfer RNA, 63 nt
Filed under: Euspilotus scissus
Lineage: Eukaryota; Metazoa; Arthropoda; Insecta; Coleoptera; Histeridae
Description: tRNA-Gly
Source: RNAcentral